RNAcentral lists this ribosomal RNA (784 nucleotides) under Distoseptispora chiangraiensis. RNAcentral describes it as "Distoseptispora sp. RX-2021a partial large subunit ribosomal RNA". It matches the Rfam family "Eukaryotic large subunit ribosomal RNA", at positions 98 to 909 of the family's 3401-position model. The record is from RNAcentral. Lineage: Eukaryota; Fungi; Ascomycota; Sordariomycetes; Distoseptisporaceae.
GCGGCAACAGCUCAGAUUUGAAAUCUGGCUCCUUCGGGGCCCGAGUUGUAAUCUGUAGAGGAUGCUUUUGGCGACGCGCCUUCCGAGUCCCCUGGAACGGGGCGCCAGAGAGGGUGAGAGCCCCGUAUGGUUGGACGCCGAACCUCUGUAAAGCUCCUUCGACGAGUCGAGUAGUUUGGGAAUGCUGCUCAAAAUGGGAGGUAAAUUUCUUCUAAAGCUAAAUACCGGCCAGAGACCGAUAGCGCACAAGUAGAGUGAUCGAAAGAUGAAAAGCACUUUGAAAAGAGGGUUAAAUAGCACGUGAAAUUGCUGAAAGGGAAGCGCUUGUGACCAGACUUGCGCCCGGUUGAUCAUCCAGCGUUCUCGCUGGUGCACUCUGCCGGGCUCAGGCCAGCAUCGGCUCUCCCAGGGGGAUAAAGGUCGCGGGAACGUAGCUCUCUUCGGGGAGUGUUAUAGCCCGUGGCGGAAUACCCUUAGGGGGGGCCGAGGCCCGCGUUCGCAAGGAUGCUGGCGUAAUGGUCACCAGCGACCCGUCUUGAAACACGGACCAAGGAGUCAAGCAUUAGGGCGAGUCUUUGGGUGUAAAACCCGCAGGCGCAAUGAAAGUGAACGGAGGUGAGAGCUUCGGCGCAUCAUCGACCGAUCCUGAUGUUCUCGGAUGGAUUUGAGUAAGAGCCUUACCGCUUGGACCCGAAAGAUGGUGAACUAUGCCUGAAUAGGGUGAAGCCAGAGGAAACUCUGGUGGAGGCUCGCAGCGGUUCUGACGUGCAAAUCGAUCGUCAAA